This 67-nucleotide transfer RNA is filed under the name Diplectrona albofasciata. RNAcentral's name for it is "tRNA-Gly". The record is from RNAcentral. Lineage: Eukaryota; Metazoa; Arthropoda; Insecta; Trichoptera; Hydropsychidae.
AUUACCAUAAUAUAUAAGUAUAUUUGAUUUCCAAUCAAAAAGAUUAAAUCAAAUUUUAAUUGUAAUA